ACGUGACGCGCCCUCCAGUAAUGGCGUCCUACUGCUCUGCGGGGUUUGUAACAAGAUCAGGACUGGCCAGUGUCCUUCGACGAGUGUGCAAUUUCGACCUGUGUGGAUCCCCCAGGGCACGACUGUGUCACCCAUAUCGCCGCUUCUUCUGGAAGAAGUGGUCAAAAUCCCACUCACAAAAUGUUGUCCGUCCCGCUACUGUUAGGCCUGCCUAUGCUGUACCAAAGCACAUUGAACGCCCGGAUUACGUCAGUACUGGACUGAUCCCCGAAUGGCCUGACUAUAUCGAAAUAAAGAAUGCAGAGCAAAUCGAAGGCCUCGCCAGAGCAUGCCAGGUAGCUCGACAUGUCCUGCUACUAGCGGGGCAAAGUCUGAAAGUUGGUAUGACUACAGAUGAAAUAGACUUUAUUGUACAUCAGGAGAGUAUCCAGCAUAACGCCUACCCCUCCCCUCUCAGAUACGGAGGUUUCCCAAAAUCGGUUUGUACUUCAGUGAACAACGUGGUGUGUCAUGGCAUACCUGACAGUCGGCCACUUCAAGAGGGCGACAUUAUCAACAUUGACGUGACUGUGUAUUUGGACGGUUACCACGGUGACACGUCGGAAACCUUCUUUGUCGGUGAGGUGGAUGAGCUCGGGCGGCGACUGGUGGAAACGGCAAGGCAUUGCAGGGAUGACGCCAUCGCCGCCUGUAAGCCGGGUGCGCAGCUUUGCGUUAUCGGGAACACUAUUAGUGAAAUAGCUCAUGCUAAUGGAUUCCAAGUGUGUCCCUAUUUCAUCGGACAUGGAAUCGGCUCCUACUUUCAUGGCCAUCCUGAGAUCUGGCACCACGCAAAUGACAAUGACAUGACCAUGGAUGAAGGCAUGACUUUCACAGUAGAACCCAUACUAAUGGAAGGGUCUGCAGAGUUUAAAAUCCUGAAAGACAAGUGGACAGCGGUGUCUGUAGACAAUAAAAGAUCGGCUCAGUUUGAACACACUGUAGUUAUCACAUCUGACGGAGUGGAAAUUCUCACCAAAUUGCCAGAAGAGGACAAUCAUUGACCUGUCGAGAUCGAAGUGUGAACCUCACCUGUUCGACACCGUUUACUUGGACAAAAAGAAACUUACUUGAACUGUGAGGCAUCAGGACCCCCACCCCCCGAGACCCUCAGCAGCGUGACCUCAUACACUUUGAGGCCAGUUUGUAAUACCAAUCGCUUACCACGAUGUGAACAUAAUUUUUUUUUUUUUUUAAAUAAAAUCUUUAACUUUAUUUAUUUGAUUCUUAGUUUGUCUGUAACAUGCAUCAUACUUUGAAUCUUAUUCCAUUUGUUACAUCUGCCUAAUGUGGCUGCUUCAAUGAGUUACAGGUUAAAAAUACAUUUUGGUUUAUUGACCGAUUGCAUGAUUUCUUUUGCAACUUGAAUUAUUUGUUCUGUGCUUUCAUUUCACAGUAGGAAAAAAGGAAACAUUUUGAUGUUCUAAAACUUUUGACUAGUAGUGUACAUUAGCUGAGUUGCGCUUCUCUAACUUCUGGCCAUGCCUUUGUAGGUUAACAAAUGCAUCGUUUUCCACUUUACAUUUUUAUUUACACCACUGAUUCAUAAGUAAGUUACACUUAAUUAACUCUAAGGGGAGCACUCUAGCAAAAAAACAAAACAAAAACAACAACUAUUGUUCCUUGUUAUUACUACUUACUUUUUUUUUAUACACAAUGAAAUACUUCUACUCUGUAUGUACAAUAUGUUGAUGAAGUAAUGCUGGAAUAAAUUUGAGUAUCGGUUCCCCUUUGCAGCUCUGACAGAAUCUUCUCAUUUGGGAUGUCUUUGCUCCAAGAUUGAGUGACUGGAAAUCAUCGGUUCAUCCCAAAGAACUUUUCAGACGUCACUGAUGUUGAGAUAAUGAACAGCUCCCUCACAAUCUCAGCUCUUGUGCAAUUUAAUGAAAAAAAAGAUGUUUGAGGUUAGGCAAGUUGGAAGCAUAAGGUUGUCCAACAGAUGGCAGCAUACACUUAACUCGCUCCUUUUAUCACUUGCAUAUGUCAACAAGUCUUACCGACGAACAACUGUCCACCCCCACGGUGUGAUAUGGGCCUCCUUAACAAAGGCGUCUUCACAUCAUUUGAAGCCACAUUUUGCUUAGAGGUUUCAAUUCCACCCAUGUCAGUGGCAUUUGGCUGCUCUAUCGAGGAAAGUUGAGUUCAGCAAAAUGUGAUUAUACGCACUAGUUCAGUAUUAAGUUUGGCAAGAUCACACAAGGCUUUUUUUUGGUCAUAUGUUCUCAAAACCAAGAAUACAUAUGCAUCAAACACUUCAUUAGGUACACUUGGACAAAAUACAAUUCAAUAGAAGAACUAUCUGAAAAAUGUUUCUCAAAAAGAGCAUCAUGUUCAAGUUUGAUAUUUAACAUGUAUAUUAACGUAGUUGUACUUUGUCAUCCUGUAGAAGUGUUUAUUAUAUUAUUCAUGUGUUUAAUUCAUUGACUCUGACAAAGCCUAUGGUACUGUGGACAUUUUUGUUUUAUCCACAUUCUUUUGUGAAUUAUUAACUUAUUAGUUUGUUAUCAUUUGUCAUAAAUUUGAUUUAAGGUGGUGUAAGGCACUUCAGUGAGGAAAAAACAGCCCUGAGGUUGUAUGUUUUGUAACUUCCUGUUGAUGUACUUAAGGGGUGUGUGUGUGUGUGUGUGUGUGUGUGUGUGUGUGUGUGUGUGUGUGUGUGUGAGUGUGUGUGCUUGCCUUUGCCAGUGCUGUGGGUUGGGCAGGUAGGAUUUGACAAAUAAAGAUUUUCAGAUCCCAGAUGUUUGUAUGUGGGAGUGAAGCUGUGAUUUAUCGCACUUACCUGAGAUUCUGCUGAGGAGCACCACAGGAAUUCCAGGAUUCCACGUUAACCUCGG
Molecule: RNA transcript, 2873 nt
Organism: Phycodurus eques (leafy seadragon)
Lineage: Eukaryota; Metazoa; Chordata; Actinopteri; Syngnathiformes; Syngnathidae
Gene: metap1d
Gene name: methionyl aminopeptidase type 1D (mitochondrial)
Exons: 11
Source: RefSeq, a predicted model, not a curated record